GGUGAUCGUGAUUAUUGGGUCUAAGGGUCCGUAGCCGGUUUGGUCAGUCCUCCGGGAAAUCUGAUAGCUCAACUAUUAGGCUUUCGGGGGAUACUGCCAGACUGGAACCGGGAGAGGUAAGAGGUACUACAGGGGUAGGAGUGAAAUCUUGUAAUCCCUGUGGGACCACCUGUGGCGAAGGCGUCUUACCGAGAACGGGUUCGACGGUGAGGGACGAAAGCUGGGGGCACGAACCGGAUUAGAUACCCGGGUAGUCCCAGCCGUAAACGAUGCUCGCUAGGUGUCAGGCAUGGCGCGACCGUGUCUGGUGCCGCAGGGAAGCCGUGAAGCGAGCCACCUGGGAAGUACGGCCGCAAGGCUGAAACUUAAAGGAAUUGGCGGGGGAGCACAACAACGGGUGGAGCCCUGCGGUUUAAUUGGACUCAACGCCGGACAACUCACCGGGGGCGACAGCAAUAUGUAGGCCAAGCUGAAGACUUUGCCUGAAUCGCUGAGGAGUGGUGCAUGG
Molecule: ribosomal RNA, 508 nt
Filed under: uncultured archaeon
Lineage: Archaea
Description: bacterial SSU rRNA
Rfam family: Archaeal small subunit ribosomal RNA
Source: RNAcentral